AGUGGGAUAACUGGGUCAAAUGGUGGUUUCAUUCCAAGUUUUCUAAGGAAUCUCCAUACUGCUUUCCAGAGUAGUUGUACCAAUAUACAAUCCCAUCAGCAAU
This 103-nucleotide microRNA precursor is filed under the name Marmota monax (woodchuck). Lineage: Eukaryota; Metazoa; Chordata; Mammalia; Rodentia; Sciuridae. The record is from RNAcentral.